RNAcentral lists this ribosomal RNA (18 nucleotides) under Poecilia picta (swamp guppy). RNAcentral describes it as "Micropoecilia picta (swamp guppy) partial 16S ribosomal RNA". The record is from RNAcentral. Lineage: Eukaryota; Metazoa; Chordata; Actinopteri; Cyprinodontiformes; Poeciliidae.
ACUCAAUAGCUAGCCUCU